CAGCCGCGGUAAUUCGAAGGAUGCAAGCGUUAUCCGGAUUCAUUGGGUUUAAAGGGAGCGUAGGUGGCCUUAUAAGUCAGUGGUGAAAUCUCUCGGCUUAACCGAGAAAUUGCCAUUGAUACUGUAGGGCUUGAGUAUAGUUGCCGUUGGCGGAAUAUGACAUGCAGUGGUGAAAUACAUAGAGAUGUCAUAGAACACCGAUUGCGAAGGCAGCUGACGAAACUAUAACUGACACUGAGGCUCGAAAGUGCGGGGAUCAAACAGGAUUAGAUACCCUGGUAGUCCGCACUGUAAACGAUGAUUACUCGCUGCUAGAGGGCAACUUUUAGUGGCUUAGCGAAAGCGAUAAGUAAUCCACCUGGGGAGUACGCCGGCAACGGUGAAACUCAAAGGAAUUGACGG
RNAcentral lists this ribosomal RNA (402 nucleotides) under uncultured soil bacterium. Its description in RNAcentral is "bacterial SSU rRNA". It matches the Rfam family "Bacterial small subunit ribosomal RNA", at positions 512 to 916 of the family's 1533-position model. The record is from RNAcentral.